Molecule: long non-coding RNA, 1062 nt
Filed under: Oryctolagus cuniculus (rabbit)
Lineage: Eukaryota; Metazoa; Chordata; Mammalia; Lagomorpha; Leporidae
Description: lncRNA (ENSOCUG00000029942.1)
Source: RNAcentral
AUGCACCCCGGCCGGAAGUUGCUAGGAAGCAGCGAUGGCGCCGGGUCCCGAUGCUCUGCUGGGCCAGGCGGAGGCCAGGGGCUCCAUCCGGGUCUCCUCGUCGGGCGGGAGCCCAGGUACCUGCUCCUCCCAGGAUGCACCCCGACCGGAAGUUGCCAGGAAGCAGCGAUGGCGCCGGGUCCCCAUGCUCUGCUGGGCCAGGCGGAGACCAGGGGCUCCAUCCGGGUCUCCUCGUCGGGCGGGAGCCCAGGUACCUGCUCCUCCCAGGAUGCACCCCGGCCGGAAGUUGCUAGGAAGCAGCGAUGGCGCCGGGUCCCCGAUGCUCUGCAGUCGGACGCGCGGGUCCGGGCUGGGGCUUCGCCACUGCACCGCCCUCCCACCCUCAGAUCCGCGUGUGCUCCGGGCAACCUGGGCGCCAAGGCAGUGCAGCCGCGCCCCGCCUCACGUGCGCGCCGCGUGCCUGGGCCACAGGAAAGCGGCCGUGGCGCGCGCGGCGCUCCGCGAACCCCGGCCUCCGUGGGCGCGCCCCCGCCUCGGCCCGGUGCCCCUCGCUGCCCCAGACCUGCGCUGCGCCCGCUCCCUGGGCUCCUCCGAGCCUUCCUCCUCGGCCUGGGUCUGGCUGAGGAGCCUCGCACCGGAGGCGGAGGCCGGGUUUGGGGGAAGGACACGAGUGGGGAGUGCCUUUCGCGUCACGUGGCAGGGCAGGGGCCCGAGUGGCCUGCUAGGCGUGCCCCGGGAGCUUCGGCCCGUCGGGCCUGCGGCGCUGGUCAGGCAGCCAUGGAGGACAGGCGGCUCCCCGCGGGUCCCACUGCGUGUGCUCCAGGGAGGAACCGGGACGCAGCGGCUUCCAGAGGCCGGGGAGCCGGGAUCGGCCGGCCCGAGGGCCCAGGCUCCCCCGGGCCUCCUGGGCCGAGCCCAGCACAAACCGGGAACUGGGCCCCCCGCAGGGACCUUCCCCCACGGGUGACCUUGGCAGAGCCCUGCGCUGGCACGGCCACUCCGGGUGGUCGAGCCGGGCUCCCAGGCCCUGCCCGUCUGCGUGGAGAGGCCUUUGAUGGCUGA